GCAGAUGGGGAACAUCAAGGGACCCUGGAAGGUCUUUUGAUGUAAGCAGAGAAGCAAUGGCUCCAAGAAGGAUGUCAGCUAGUAUGAGGGAAGUAGAGAUGGAUGUUCAGAGAAGAGAUUUCAGUUUGGGAAUCAGAGUGCCAGAAGAAGGUAUGGGAGAUUCUCAGGAGGAUGCUCAGACUCAGGAUUCUAGGAUUUCAGGUUCAGGAGGGAUUGAUCCCUCCACU
RNAcentral lists this long non-coding RNA (227 nucleotides) under Manihot esculenta (cassava). RNAcentral describes it as "long non-coding RNA (MESC_LNC006511)". The record is from RNAcentral. Lineage: Eukaryota; Viridiplantae; Streptophyta; Magnoliopsida; Malpighiales; Euphorbiaceae.